GUAAUUUUCUGGGUGGGUCCCAUCAUUCAACUUAACCUUCAGCGAUGGCGGCCUCUCUCUCUAGCCCCACCUCUCACUCACUCGCCGCUUCGCAGUCGCAAAUAUAUUUUUCUCAUUUGCCUCCAUUGUUGAAUCUUCCUCUAUUUUCAGGGAUCAGACCUCUUAUUUUACACUUAUUUUCAUUUUUGUUGCUCAUUUUAUGGCCUCUUCCCAUUCAACCCACUGCAUUACCCUGCAAAAACCCCGGAGAUUAUCUCCCUCCCUACUCUGUCCCAGCCACCGCUUCGUUCUCGACACUGGUAAAGGAACUGUUCGAUUCCGUCCUCAAUCUAGGCUUCCCAGACCCUUGGCGUAUAACCAGGGAACGAACAGUAAUUCGGUGAACUGCAAUGUGUUUAUUGAGGCAGAGUCGGGUGCUAGUAUCGAGGAAGAGACUUAUAAUUCCGUCGAGGAUAGGCAAUUUGUACGGUGGUUUCGCGAGGCCUGGCCAUACCUGUGGGCUCAUAGGAGCAGUACUUUUGUAGUCAUUAUUUCUGGUGAUAUUAUCUCUAGUCCUUUCUUGGAUCCCAUUUUGAAGGAUAUAGCAUUCCUUCAUCACCUGGGAAUCAGGUUUGUUCUUGUCCCGGGCACCCAUGUUCAAAUUGAUAAUCUUUUGGCCCAGAGAGGUAACUGAAAGCCUUAAUUAUUUUUUUUAAAUUUUAUUUCUUUGAAAUUCAUUUUACGUAAUCUGUUUUGUUGCAGUUUAUGGUCUCAACAUCCCUCUCCUCCUCUUCCCUAUAUAGUUACGGAUUCUUGAUUUACACAAUCGAAGAGUUUGGUAUUGGUUCUUUUUGUUUAAGUAUUUGUUGUUGAUUGUUGGCGAAUUUAGAUUUUUUAUUCGGAGUGAAUAUAUAAAAAAUAAAAAAAAAACUAUAAAAAGAUGUAAAAAAUACAAUUAAAUACUUUGAAAACUAUCAAUUAAUACUAUCUAAUACAUAUUUCUAUAUAUAAAUAAUUAAACAAUAUUUCAUUCAAUUGAUCAUCCACACGUCUGAUAAAUUUUAUUACCAAAAUUAGUUACAAUAGAGUUCUAAAAGUAAAUUAACCUUUUAAUACACAGCAUGCUUUAAAUUUUAUCAGAAAAAGAGUUCAAUAAUUAAAUUUAUAAAGGGAGGAAGAGAGGGGUCAAUGGACUCCAUUUCUUGCAGUGCGGCCGCCACUGAUCUGUUAUAUGAGUUGCUUAGGUAGCACCUCGUGAGUGGCAAUUCUUUUAUUGCAGGGCAUGAGCCUAAAUAUGUUGGUCAAUACAGAAUAACUGACUCUGAGGCACUAGCUGCAUCAAUGGAGGCAGCUGGGAAGAUUCAAAUGAUGAUAGAGGCAAAACUCUCUCCUGGGCCUUCCAUAUGUAAUAUCCGUCGACAUGGUGACAGUAGUCGUUUGCAUGACGUGGGUGUCAGUGUUGCUAGUGGUAACUUUCUUGCAGCCAAGAGAAGAGGAGUUGUGGAAGGUGUUGAUUUUGGAGCAACUGGUGAAGUAAAGAAAGUAGAUGUUAUUCGCAUGCGUGAAAGGCUUGAUGGAGGUUGUAUAGUUAUAUUGAGCAACCUGGGAUAUUCCAGCUCUGGAGAAGUUUUAAAUUGCAACAUGUAUGAAGUUGCUACAGCAUGUGCCCUGGCUAUUGGGGCAGAUAAGCUUAUUUGCAUCAUAGAUGGUCCGAUUCUUGAUGAUAGUGGGCACCUUAUUCGCUUCUUGGCUAUUGAAGAAGCAGACAUGUUGAUUCGUGAGCGAGCUAAGCAAAAUGAAAUAGCUGCUCACUAUGUGAAAGCUGUUGGCAAAGAAGAUUUCACUUCUUUUGAACACAAUGAUUCUGUUAAAGUUAUGUCUUCAUCACAUAAUGGUAAGCCUCUUAAUGGAAGGCAUAGUCUAACCUUCCAGAAUGGUGUUGGCUUUGACCAUGGGAAUGGGUUAUGGUUUGGGGAACAAGGCUUUGCCAUUGGAGGUCAUGAACGGCAAAGUCGAUCAAAUGGGUACCUUUCAGAAUUGGCUGCAGCAGCUUUUGUUUGUAAAGGAGGUGUUCAAAGAGUACAUCUUUUAGAUGGGACAAUUGGUGGGGUUCUAUUGUUGGAACUUUUUAAAAGAGAUGGGAUGGGGACAAUGGUGGCUAGUGAUGUUUAUGAAGGAACCCGGAUGGCAAUGGUGACAGAUCUCUCAGGAAUAAAACGAAUCGUACAACCUUUAGAAGAUUCUGGUGUAUUGGUGCAACGGACUGAUGAAGAGGUUUGCUGUUGCCAGACCGCUACUGUUCUUAAUCUGAUAAAAUUAUAAUUUUGCAAUGAUAAGAAAAUGAUAUUCUUAUCAUUGCAAGGCAGAGAUAGGAAAAGAUAGCUGACACUGCUGGGCAGUUAUGUUUUGUUUGAACUGGAAUUAAUUGGUUUUCUCUUGUUUGUGUUUAUAGCUGCUUAAAACUUUGGAUUCAUUUGUUGUUGUGGAAAGAGAAGGUCAAAUCAUUGCUUGUGCUGCCCUUUUCCCUUUCUUUGAGGAGAAAUGUGGAGAAGUUGCGGCUAUUGCAGUGUCUCCUGAGUGCCGUGGACAAGGACAGGGAGACAAAUUGCUUGAUUUCAUUGAGAAGAAAGCCUCCUCCCUAAAUUUGGAAAUGCUCUUUCUGCUUACAACCCGUGCAGCAGACUGGUACAUUUUCUUUGUUACAUACCUUAAAAUACAUGUGCUUAAUAAUCACUUUAACUCCUAGUGCGUUAGAAAUAAUAUAUCAAAAGAAUUUGAGAGUAGUGAUUUUUCUUCUGGCCAUUACUGUGCUGGAAUUCACUCUAUCCUUUCAUCUCAUAUGCAUUUUUAAAAUUUACUUUAUUUCAUGACUGAGAUGUCUUUAGUAACUUGAUGGCAUAAUGCAGGGGAAUGACAUAUGUCCUCUGGUAGGUUGUCACUUCGAAUCAUUUUUAGUUUCUUCCCUUUGGUUUUCAAAGAUAAGGUUAUUUCCAGUAUGAUAAUUCUGUUUUUAAGACUAUAAUAAACAUAACUUAGAGGUACUGUUUUGUUGUAAGAGUAUAAUUCUGGUAUUUGGUUAUGGGAUGAAUUCAUUCUGCUGACCCUACAUUUAUGGCUAAAACUUACUCAAUUGUGGAGGUAAGUAUAACUGUCAUUUGCUUUUAGCUGUUGGAUUGUCACUUUUGAACCAGGCCCUUUGAACCAAGGUUGAUUCUAGAUCUUUGCAGUUUUGAAGGAAUUGGUUAUUUCCAAUACAAUUAGUUGCGGACUUCAUAUGGUUGACUGCAAUUAUUAAUUUUGAUAAAUCAUUUUUUUAUUAUAGGAUUGCGCAUUUGAGGGAUGUAGAGAACAAAAUAAAAAUUUGCUGUGUAUAAAAAUUUGUCUGAACUUCAAAUGCAUUCCAUCUACCUAAGAUUUUAAAUGAGGGCCAAUUAAAUAUAUGCAUUUUGUUUUACAGGUUCAAGAGGCGUGGCUUCUCAGAAUGUUCAAUUGAUAUGAUACCAGAGAAAAGGAGGAAGAAGAUCAAUCUAUCCCGUAAUUCCAAGUAUUAUAUGAAGAAGUUGCUGCCUAAUACAAGUGGAAUAACUGUUAAUAGGGCAUUUAGUUAAGGAUUGGCAUCCUACAAAGGUUGUGUUUACUGACGUUAGUU
Molecule: unclassified non-coding RNA, 3628 nt
Filed under: Hevea brasiliensis (rubber tree)
Lineage: Eukaryota; Viridiplantae; Streptophyta; Magnoliopsida; Malpighiales; Euphorbiaceae
Source: RNAcentral